GAGCCGCUCCGAGGGGCCCACCCGCGAGCAGCGGGGAAGGCGGGGACCCGGGCCCCGCGGGCCUGCAGCGCCCCCGCACCCGGUUCCACGCGCCCAGGGCCGCCCCCGCGGAGAGAGGGGGCGCGAGGGGCGCGCCUCUCGCUCGGACACCCUCUCCCAGCUCGCGCCCCAGGUGAGAAAAUGAAGGCACAGAGAGAUUGAGUAACUUGCACAAGGUCACAUGUAGGAGAACUGAGCAUCCACCCUACUCAGCCUGGCCCCAAGGUCCAAGGUAACUUAAACCCAAUUAUAAAUGGCUUUGGCUAUAAAGUGUUCUUGAAUGAAAACGUUUAGGAAGUAGGCCUGGAUUCAGAUGCUUCAGAGGCUCAAAGGUUUUCUAAUUGUUUAUGGAGAAGAUUGAUCUUCACAAGCUAGUUUUUUCAUAGGCAAAAGCAAAAGUCUCUUCCUGUGUUAUUAAGUGAAAAUGGCUGAUUAUAAAAAGGCCCUGGGUCAGGAGGUUGCCGAUUCCAGGAAGAAUCAGACCUUAUCCCUGCCCUUGAGUCUCAAGAAGAGGAAAGGAAAACAAAUAAGCAUAGUACAGUGUGAAAAGUGGGACUGUGGUCAAAUUUCAGUCUGCAAACUCAGAUCAUGAAAGAUAGUGUGGCUUCCACUUUGGUCUCUUAUAUCACCUACUGGGGGAAGCCAGCUGCCAUGUUGUGAGGACACUCAAGAAGCUCUGUGGAGAGGCUCUUUUGAAGGAGAACCAAUGCCUCCCACCAACAGCCAGCAUCAACUUGGGACAUGUGAGUGAACCAAUUGGAAGUGGAUCCUCCAGCCAAGUCAAGCCUUCAGAUGACUGAAGCCCCAGCCUCAUGAGAGAUAGCAGGCUAAAACUGCCCAGCUAAGCUGCUCCUGAAAUCCUGACCCCCCAAAUUAUAAAAGACAAUAAAUUAUUAUUGUUGUUUUAAGCCACUACAUGUUGGGGUGAUUCAUUAUGCAGCAACAGAUAAUAAAUACAUCACCCUUGUAUUCAUUACUGACGUUUAUUGGGAGCAUAGUGUGUGAUUUUUCAUUUAACCCUUCCAGUAAUGCUGUGAGAUAGGUAAGUUUAUUAUCCCCAUUUUACAGACAAAGAAACUGAGGUUCAGAAUGAGUGAAGUCUCUUCCCUGCAGAGUCCCUGACCUUAAGGAUUUUAUGGUCAGAUCUGAGAGACAGAAGCUCAAAAACCUAUGACUCUAGGCAAAAUAUGGCCCUGGGAUCCCAGGAUGGGGAGAGGAAUUUUGGAUUCUGGCUUCUACUUGGGCCUCAUAGCUUGGGAUGACAGAGGGUACACUCCAAAGGCAACAAACACCUUCCCUGCCCUUGAGCACCUGCUUAAUCAAGGGGAGAAAGUUCAGAUGCUUAUGCAUAAUGUGUGGUAUUUCUCUGCACAGAAACACACACGGGCCUGUACAGUAAUAAUGAAAAGCAACAACCCAUCUUAAGGGCUUGGCACUUUGCACUUACAAAGCCUUAUACAUCCCUAAUUCCAUGGAAUCACACCUGGCAGGUAAGCGUGGCCCUGUACACUUUACAGAUGGGGACACUGAGGUCAGGGAAGUUGUGUGAUUCUUGCAGAGCCAAGCAGCCUAGAAGUGGCAGAGUUCAGGUAAAACCCAGUAACUGGGUGUUUUACAAGUGCUAAGGGUAUGACAGGAGGUAGGCAGGGCUCCUCUGAGGGAGGUUUCAGGAAGAGGUCACCCGCGAGCAGGGUUCUGAGAAUGGGGAAGUGGCUUCGGGGAGAGGAUGGUGCCUGGGAGGGUUUGAGAGGAAACAGAGUGAGUCCCUAGGGGCUCCCAGGGUGUACGAGGGCAAAGAGGUGAACAUAGCUGGAGUGGAAAGAAUGAGAAAGCCUGGGUGUGUGGAAGAGCCUUGGUGUGUUAGGUGGAAUUGCAGCUGGAGGGUGUGUGCAGAAUGAGAGGUCUUGGUAUUGGGGCCAAAGUCAACUGCCACGCCUAAGGAGGGAGGAAGGCGCUUAUUUUGCUUCUUGGGUGAAAAUCAUUCCUGUGAUUUAGUUCUCCUUGGGGGAGGGGCGGGGUUUCAUCCAGCCUUAGCAAAUGCAUUCAAUCUUCACUACUUCUCUCUGUCAGAUGGGGUGGAUAGAGGUCCAAAUGUGGGCAGAAGCUUUUAUGUCCCAUCGCAGGGCAGCUAAGAACAGCUGCGCGGGUCGUUCACUGUACAUGGGCACUAGGCCAAAAGGGACUGAAAUCCGGACGGCCCUUUGUUUACUAAGCCAUGUGCCUGCAAGGCUGCACCUGCCCAGAAGGAAUGCUUCCUAUUUCUUUUCUUUAAAAAAAAAUUUUUUUUAUGAGCUAAAAUUCACAUAACAUAGAAUCUACCAUUUAAACCACUUUAAAGUAUAAAGUUCAGUGCUUUUAGUAUAGUCACAAUGUUGUGCAACCAUCACCACUAGCAGUUUUCGGAACAUUUCCAUCAUCCCAAAAAACAACUCCAUAACUCCUAAUUCCCCCCCUUUCCCCAUCUCUUGGCGACCAUGAAUCUGAACUUUCAUAUGAAUGGAGUUCUAUAAUUUGCUGUCUUCUGUGACUGUCUUCUUUCAUUUGGCAUUAAAACUUUUCAAGUUUUACCCAUGUUGUGGUAUGUGUCUGUACUUCAUUCCUUUUUAUGGCUCGAUAAUAUCGCAUUGUGUGAAUAUUCCACAAUUUGUGUAUCCCUUCAUGAGUUGAUGGACAUAUGGGUUAUAUCCACUGGCUGUUAAGAACAGGCGGGUCACGGUGGCUCACGCCUGAAAUCCCAGCACUUUGGGAGGCUGAGGUGGGCGGAUCACCUGAGGUCAGGAGUUCUAGAUCAGCUUUGCCAACACGGUGAAACCUUGUCUCUACCAAAUAUAUAAAAAUU
This 2878-nucleotide long non-coding RNA is filed under the name Homo sapiens (human). RNAcentral's name for it is "non-protein coding lnc-VGLL4-6:2". The record is from RNAcentral. Lineage: Eukaryota; Metazoa; Chordata; Mammalia; Primates; Hominidae.